UUUCAAUGCCAUUUGGACUCAGCUCAACCACUACAGAGGAAACAAUGACUUCAACACAAAAGGACCAAAAUGGAGCGAGAAGUAAGCGCACUCAGGAGGUCAACAAACGUCACAGAAGAAAGGGAGAGAAAACAUACAGCUGUAAUGAGUGUGGAAAGUCUUUUACCCGGGCUGAAGGCUUAAAAAGACACAAAUUCAUCCACAGUGGAGUUAAAGCUUACAGCUGUGACUUGUGUGGAAAGUCUUUUACCCUGGCUGGAGGCUUAAAAAGACACAAAUUUUCCCUGGCUCACAUCUUCAAAACGCACCAAUUCAUCCACAGAGGAGUUAAACCUUACAGAUGUGACUUGUGUGGAAAGUCUUUCAACCGGGCUCAAAACUUAAAAAGACACCAACUCAUCCACAGUGGAGUUAAAGCUUACAGCUGUGAGUUGUGUGGAAAGUCUUUUUCCCUGGCUCAAACCUUAGAAACACACCAGCUCAUCCACAGUGGAUUUAAACCUUACAUCUGUGAGUUGUGUGGUAAAGCCUUUGCUCAAAGUUGCAGCUUAAAGAAGCAUCUAGUUACCCACUCUGGAAUUAAGCUGUACAGCUGUGACUUGUGUGGAAAAACUUUCAGUGAAAAAAAGUACCGAAAUAUUCACCUACGGACUCACACUGGAAAUGAUGUUUCCUGCUGUGAUCAGUGUGGAAAACCGUUUACAACAGAUGCACAGUUAAAAAUACACAUGUUUAGCCACACUGAGGAGAGACCUUAUAAAUGUGACCUGUGUGAGAAGACUUUUAAAGCUCCACAUCACCUGAAAAAACACCAACAGAUCCACACCAGAAAGUAACUCUACUAGUGCAGUUACUGUGAGGUAUGUAUUUAUCUUUUUAUCCUGUAAUUUUAACCUGAUUGUUUGGAACAAGUCUGAUCGGUAAUUUUGUGGAAUUACAUUGAAUGAACUGUUUAGAAAAAGGAAGAGUCAUCUUUGUCCGGUAAGCUGAGUGUUGUAACAGUAAAAUGUAAUUGGAUGUUGGCAGAGAUGCUUUUUAUUUCAGGCAACGUUCAGGAUAAAAACGUUGAAGGAAUUCCCUGACUCACACUGUCUUUGUUUAGAAGUGGAGCAAAGCACAUGGAUCCAGUUCUCAGCCCUGCCGUCACUGUGGUGGUGGGAAAGAGUUUUUCUGUGACCUUCCAAUCAUCAAUGGGACCUAAAAAUACAUCAACGUAGACACACUGGAGACAAAAUGAACUACUGCAAAGAAUGUGGGAGAAGCUUCCACACACCAAGUACAUUAAAAA
Oreochromis niloticus (Nile tilapia) is the source of this 1288-nucleotide long non-coding RNA. RefSeq lists it as uncharacterized. The transcript has 2 exons. The record is from RefSeq and is a predicted model, not a curated record. Lineage: Eukaryota; Metazoa; Chordata; Actinopteri; Cichliformes; Cichlidae.